CCUACGGGAGGCAGCAGUGAGGAAUAUUGGUCAAUGGACGAGAGUCUGAACCAGCCAAGUAGCGUGAAGGAUGACUGCCCUAUGGGUUGUAAACUUCUUUUAUAAAGGAAUAAAACGAGGCACGUGUGCCUUUUUGCAUGUACUUUAUGAAUAAGGAUCGGCUAACUCCGUGCCAGCAGCCGCGGUAAUACGGAGGAUGCGAGCGUUAUCCGGAUUUAUUGGGUUUAAAGGGUGCGCAGGCGGAGGCACAAGUCAGCGGUAAAAUCGCGGGGCUCAACCCCGCUCCGCCGUUGAAACUGUGUCCCUUGAGUGCGCGAAGGGUAGGCGGAAUGCGUGGUGUAGCGGUGAAAUGCAUAGAUAUCACGCAGAACUCCGAUCGCGAAGGCAGCCUACCGGCGCGCAACUGACGCUCAUGCACGAAAGCGUGGGUAUCAAACAGGAUUAGAUACCCGUGUAGUC
Molecule: ribosomal RNA, 459 nt
Filed under: uncultured bacterium
Lineage: Bacteria
Description: partial 16S ribosomal RNA
Rfam family: Bacterial small subunit ribosomal RNA
Source: RNAcentral